UAGAUGCGAGAGUAGAGCAUAUCAAUAAGCGGAGGAAAAGAAACUAACAAGGAUUCCCCUAGUAACGGCGAGUGAAGCGGGAAGAGCUCAAAUUUGAAAUCUUCAAGGGUUUCCCUUGACGAAUUGUAGUUUAAAGAAGUGUUUUCUGUUAGAGAGGUGGUAAAAGUUCUUUGGAAUAGGACAUCAUAGAGGGUGAGAAUCCCGUAUUUGGUCAUUCCUCCUAGCGUUGUGAUACACUUUCAACGAGUCGGAUUGUUUGGGAAUGCAGUCCAAAAUGGGUGGUAAAUUUCAUCUAAAGCUAAAUAUUGGCGAGAGACCGAUAGCGAACAAGUACCGUGAGGGAAAGAUGAAAAGAACUUUGAAAAGAGAGUUAAACAGUACGUGAAAUUGUCAAAAGGGAAGCGUUUGACACCAGUGUUGUUUUUCCGAGAAUCAAUUACGAAUGUUUUAUUUUUGAGGAGUUAUGACUUCAUCGGCUUGCUCCUUUCUUUAUGAAACUUUCUUAAUGCACUUUUCGGUUAACAAGUCAACAUCAAUUUCUUUUGUUGUAAAAGGGUAUGAGGAAGGUGGCUUUCUUUUCGGAGAAAGUGUUUAUAGCCUUGUGCCUCUGCAAUCGGAGAGAUUGAGGUCUGCAGCGUAGAUCCUUCGGGGUUAGAUACGUUUGUGCUAAGUUAUAGCUUUUCAUAGACAACUUGUUGACUAUGUUUAGUCUUGUAGCUUACUCGCUUACGCUAUUUUACCUACGCUUAGGAUGUUGACGAGACUGUCGAUCUC
This 774-nucleotide ribosomal RNA is filed under the name uncultured Neocallimastigales. RNAcentral describes it as "partial large subunit ribosomal RNA". It matches the Rfam family "Eukaryotic large subunit ribosomal RNA", at positions 22 to 647 of the family's 3401-position model. Lineage: Eukaryota; Fungi; Neocallimastigomycota; Neocallimastigomycetes; Neocallimastigales. The record is from RNAcentral.